RNAcentral lists this ribosomal RNA (1243 nucleotides) under metagenome. RNAcentral describes it as "bacterial LSU rRNA". It matches the Rfam family "Bacterial large subunit ribosomal RNA", at positions 1564 to 2816 of the family's 2925-position model. The record is from RNAcentral.
UGAAUACGAGACGCUAAGGCGUCGAAGUAGUGUAUGUCAUACUUCCAAGAAAAGCUUGCACUGUCAUAGAUAAAAAACGCCUGUACCAUAACCGACACAGGUGGGUAGGUAGAGUAUACUAAGGGGCGCGAGAUAACUCUCUCUAAGGAACUCGGCAAAAUAACUCCGUAACUUCGGGAGAAGGAGUGCCUUAUUCGUAAGGUUGCAAUAACAAGAUCCAAGCAACUGUUUAUCAAAAACACAGGUCUCCGCUAAGUCGUAAGACGAUGUAUGGGGGCUGACGCCUGCCCAGUGCCAGAAGGUUAAAGAAGUUGGUUAGCAAUUGCGAAGCUGAUAACUGAAGCCCUGGUGAACGGCGGCCGUAACGAUAACGGUCCUAAGGUAGCGAAAUUCCUUGUCGGGUAAGUUCCGACCCGCACGAAAGGCGUAAUGAUUUGGAUACUGUCUCGGAGAGGGGCUCGGUGAAAUAGACUUGUCUGUGAAGAUGCGGACUACCUGCACCAGGACAGAAAGACCCUAUGAAGCUUUACUGUAACUUGAAAUUGAAAUUGGACUUUAUUCGCGCAGUAUAGGUGGGAGGCGUUGAUUAUAAUCUUGUGGGAUUAUUGGAGCCAUCAGUGAGAUACCACUCUUGUAAUGUUAGAUUUCUAACUUUGAAUCAUUAUCUGGUCAAAGAACAGUUUCAGGCGGGCAGUUUGACUGGGGCGGUCGCCUCCUAAACGGUAACGGAGGCGUACAAAGGUUUCCUCUGAACGGUUAGAAAUCGUAUCUAGAGUGUAAAGGCAUAAGGAGGCUUGACUGUGAGACCUACAAGUCGAGCAGGGACGAAAGUCGGUCUUAGUGAUCUGACGGUACUGAGUGGAAAGGCCGUCACUCAACGGAUAAAAGUUACUCUAAGGAUAACAGGCUGAUCUCCCCCAAGAGUUCACACCGACGGGGAGGUUUGGCACCUCGAUGUCGGCUCAUCGCAUCCUGGGGCGGUAGUACGUCCCAAGGGUUGGGCUGUUCGCCCAUGAAAGCGGUACGCGAGCUGGGUUCAGAACGUCGUGAGACAGUUCGGUCCAUAUCCGGUGUAGGCGUUAGAAUAUUGAGAGGAGCCUUCUUUAGUACGAGAGGACCGAGAAGGACAUACCUCUGGUGUACCAGUUAUCGUGCCAACGGUAAACGCUGGGUAGCUAUGUAUGGAGUGGAUAACCGCUGAAAGCAUCUAAGUGGGAAGCCCACCUCAAGAUAAGUAUUCUCA